Mercenaria mercenaria is the source of this 3030-nucleotide long non-coding RNA. RefSeq lists it as uncharacterized. NCBI's taxonomy places the organism in Eukaryota, Metazoa, Mollusca, Bivalvia, Venerida, Veneridae. The record is from RefSeq and is a predicted model, not a curated record. The transcript is spliced from 3 exons.
UUCUUUUUCCGUUAGCCUAUCUUCAUGAUCGGAAACCUAUUACGUUGUGUUAUACUAUUCGAAUUUAUAAACAUCUGAGGCAUGGACGUUUGUACAGAGUAACAUUUGACGGUAGAAGACCUAUCGGCAUGAUUCACACGUGUACAGCGGACGUGCAUGUGUUUGUUGUAUUCCGUCCGAAAGUGUUGAGGUAUAGAUGCUCACCACCACUUUAUUAAAUUGAUUGAAUAUGCUCGAUAAUAACCGACCUUUGGAUCAUUUUAUUUUGAAUUCUCAUAAAUAUAUCUUUACUUUUUAUAAGUAAAUUCAUUUUCAGUUAAUAAAAUCAAAUAUUCUACCAUUCCGUAUAUUUUCUUUUAACUAUAUGAUCCAAAGAAUCUUCAUAUAACAUUUAAUUUGCGAUGUGAAAAUAAACCCCAUAGUGUCUAUUUAAUUUAAGAACUAUUGUUUCAGUGAUAUUUUCCGUUAUUUUCGUUCAAAAUUCUUGAUAUUGUACAUCAUUCUGAAGCAUUUAAAUUGCAGCUCUGUCUUUAUAAAUAAAUGCAAUUCAGUUCUGCCUGUCAGUAUCAAACAUUUUGCAUUAUUGUUUUUGUUUACUUGAUUAUUGUUAGGUCCUUAAAACUUUCGCAGUAUGACAUAAGAUUAAAUUCGUCAUGUCUUAAUUUUACGAAACGGACGAAAAUUGUACAAAGAUAUUUUACAUUAAAACAUGUAGGUCAUCAAAUUGAAAUUUUUGUUUACUGGUAAUCAUUCCAAAUGAAUAAAUGUGUUUAAUUUAGGAGGAUAUUUUUACUUUUCAUAUUGAAUUGGUUAGUGUUUUUGUGGUAGUUUGUUUGCAUAUGGCUUGAACUUGAACCAUUUCCAACAAUAAUUCAUUUAUGUAACGGCUGCCAUAUGCCAUAAUCAGUUUUAUUCGCGAAUUACGGUUUUGCAGCAAGUACCAGCCUCUGUCAUCUACAAAUUGUCAAGAGAUAUGAAAGUUAUCAUGUAUUUGUACGUUUUCUUAAAUCUGUCAUUUAUAAGUCUCUGCAGUCCAUACAUAGCAUACCAACCAAAAUAUGCAUUAAGACAGCAUGAUAAGGUUUAUUCCUUUUACAGAUUUUUUAAUAUACUUAUUUGAUAUCAUAGUCAUAUUUGUAAUACUAUAUCAUUACAAUAAUGGGUACAAAUUAAAAAAAAAACCCAACUUGUUUCAUAUUCACUUUUGUGAACUUUUUUCAAUGAAAAACACUCAUAGUAAAGAAUAUUCUUUUAAAUUUUGCAAAAACUGUUCCUAAGAUUUUCCCCAUGUUUUCCUUGUGUAUAGAUAAUUGUAUUGUAAACAUAAAAAUGGCCAAAAAUGUAUGGGUCACCAGGCUAAAUUGUAUCUUAAGACCGCUUGAAUACAACACCUAUUCGGACGAAAAAUGGCGCGAACCUGACCAAAUUGAUUAUAUCUGCUAGAAGUUAAAUAAUAGUUAAAACAAUUCUUAAUCCUUUCUAUAAUUGAAUACUAAAUGAUCUGAAAGGAGAUACUGUCUAAUCAAUACAAAGUUAAUUGUCUAACAUUAUAUGAACAAUACUGUCUUUGUACUAAAAUGCGCUGUCAAAACACAGCCACAAAUGGCAAGUUGUAUGAUGCAUGUCAGGCAUGAUAUAUGUUAAUACAACGUAAACCAGUAUCAACAUUUGAUUACUAAUAAAACUUAUUAAAAAUGUUAUUUUAUUCAAGAUAUCUCAUAUUUAAGAUUGUCUGUCACAUGUUUCAACAAAUGUUGACUUCACUUCAAUCUUCCACAGAUAGUGUCGGCUGCGCAGAAAGAUGCGCAUAAAAACUAUAGGAAUUCCCUUUAAGAAAUAAUUUACAACAGCAAAUCCGUGUUUUAGCACUAUAUAUACACGAUGGGCAGUUACGUCGGACGUAAUAAUUUCACGAGGACGAAGCAAUUAUUUCGUACGACGUAUAAUCGCCCGAGUGUAUAAAUAGUGUUCAAACACGGAUUUGCUAUUAUAUUUCGAUUCUAAUAUGUCUUUUUUGUAAAAUUUAUAUCACAUAUGAUAGAACUGGUUGUGUGCGCAUGUAUGGCGCCAAACAGUAGGUUAUCACGCUUCAUUGUUUAUUCACGCCAGGACCGGAAAUGGUAAUACGUCUUGCGGAAUAGUUCCAUAAGGGCGCAAAAUUCAGCACAACUAAUAAGCAACUCCGCGCGCGCGCUCGUGUGUGUAUGCCAUUGGACAUUCCGUUUAAAACAUGUCUUAAAGGUUAAAGGUCAGUAAUUCAAAUCCUUCUUUGUUUCAUAUAAAAAACGGCAACUUCAGGUCGUCUUUACGUAUCUUUAGAGAACAUCACUUUUUCCUACACCUAUUUUUCAUGGAAGUUCUAUCACAAAUUAACGAAAAAAUGAAAAGAAAAUAGGGGGUUAUGUAGUUCCUAGUGAAAUGCCAGUCAGUUGUGGUCUGCUACCCUAUAAAUGGCACAUAUUUGCUCUCGUCCGCGCAAUAAACACCUACUUCCGGUUUCGAUCUGCAAAACUUGCCAUGUUGGGUGUAUGAACAUGAAAACCAUCUCAUUUCAUGCAGAAUGUAUUCUUGUAGUGAAAAAUGGUGAUUAAAGCACUCGUUCUACACGAAUUUGCGCAAAAAAAUGGGAAAGUUAGGAUCUAUUUAUUAUGGACUUCUUUCGACUACACCACGGAAGCACAUUUUCGACCGAAUUACUGACCUUAUUCCUAAAGUAAAUUAUAUUUGAUCAAAUUUGAAAGCACUAUUUCUCGAUGCGUACAUGGCCAUAAAUAUCACGUUGACAUGACGUCGACAUAAUAUCGUUUUGAUGAUUUAAGCGUUGUUAGUCAUAUUAGAAUUUGAUAUUUUUCCCUGUGAAAUUAUCAGAUAUACAUAUGUAUUUCAUUUUAAUAAUUUAAUAAAUCAAUGAAAAUCAUGUAAUACUUACGUAUACCUUUUUACAAAAACAAAAACAAAACAAAAACAAUACCAAAAAAACAAAAAAAACAACAACCAACAACAACAAAAAACAAACAAACAAACAAACAA